GUCCACGCCGUAAACGAUGGAUACUAGCUGUUGGGAGCAAUCUCAGUGGCUAAGCGAAAGUGAUAAGUAUCCCACCUGGGGAGUACGUUCGCAAGAAUGAAACUCAAAGGAAUUGACGGGGGCCCCGCACAAGCGGUGGAGCAUGUGGUUUAAUUCGAUGAUACGCGAGGAACCUUACCAAGGCUUAAAUGUAGUUUGACCGUUUUGGAAACAGAACUUUCGCAAGACAAAUUACAAGGUGCUGCAUGGUUGUCGU
This 256-nucleotide ribosomal RNA is filed under the name uncultured bacterium. RNAcentral describes it as "partial 16S ribosomal RNA". It matches the Rfam family "Bacterial small subunit ribosomal RNA", at positions 793 to 1055 of the family's 1533-position model. The record is from RNAcentral.